Molecule: long non-coding RNA, 1231 nt
Organism: Acanthochromis polyacanthus (spiny chromis)
Lineage: Eukaryota; Metazoa; Chordata; Actinopteri; Pomacentridae
Exons: 3
Source: RefSeq, a predicted model, not a curated record
AGGAAGGAGAGGAAGACCAAGAGCUGUAGUCUCUGAUGAAAUUAGGGCCACAGUGACUGACCAUGUGGUAAAUCAUGGACUCUCUUUUCGAGAGGCUGGUUCAAGGGUGCAGCCAAACUUGCAACAAUUAUGAGAAUUUUCCAGCACAACAACAGGAUGCAUAGGUCGCCACCUAUAGGAGGAAGAGGUCAAAUUUUCACGGAUGUCCAGGAAACAGCUGUCAUUGAUAUGGUCAUUACAAACAAUGCCAUAAAGCUGAGGGAAAUUCGGGACAGAGUGUUGAGAGACAACGCAACCUUUGCCAAUGUGAACACCGUCAGCACUACAACAACUGCCAGAGUCCUUGAGAAGCAUCAAGUAAGGAUGAAGCAACUGUACAAAAUACCUUUGGAAAGAAAUGAUGAACGUGUCAAACAACUCCGUUAUCAAUACGUUCAGACGGUCAUGGAGAUGGAGGCCAGACCAACUCCACAUGAAUUUGUGUAUGUGGAUGAAGCAGGAUUCAACCCGGCAAAAAAAGACGCAAAGGAAGAAAUGUCAUUGGGCAGCGGGCAACAGUUGAUGUACUAGGCCAGAGAGGCACAAAUAUUACAAUGUGUGCAGCCCUCUCCAAUGAUGGUUUGCUUUUACAUAAACCUCUUACUGGCCCAUACAACACAGAGAGACUCAUUUCUUUUUUAGAUGACCUUCAUAUUCUACUUGUGCCAGCAGGGGAGAUCGGUGAAAGGGCAAUAAAUGCUACAUUUGUUGUUGUGUGGGACAAUGUGGCAUUCCACCACUCUGCUGCAGUGACUGUGUGGCUCACUGCACAUCCCAGGAUGUCUGUGCUGUUUUUACCUCCAUACUCACCCUUCUUGAACCCCAUAGAAGAUUUUUUUUUUUCCAGUGUGGAGGUGGAAAGUUUAUGAUGACUCUCCACACAACCAGCUCUCCUUGCUGGAUGUAAUGAAUGCUGGGUGUGGAGAUAUUUCUCCUGAAGCCUGCCAGGGGUGGAUCAGACACUCAAAAAGGUUCUACCCACAGUGCAUCAGAGAAGACAUCAGAUGUGACGUGGUUGGAAACAUGAGGUCAAAUGCAGAUGACAGGGUGUGAAUGUUGCAGCCUACUGGUUUCUGAGUUUUAUCUCUUGAUUUCUGUUCUGCCCUGUGAAUUCUGAAUUCUGCUUUUUUUGUUGUUGUUGUCUUUACAGUAAACAAGUUUUUUUGUAAGGUCCCAAAGAACCUAUGCAAAG